CCGACCUUAGCUCAGUUGGUAGAGCGGAGGACUGUAGACGGUGUACCACAGUUAAUCCUUAGGUCGCUGGUUCGAAUCCGGCAGGUCGGA
Molecule: transfer RNA, 90 nt
Filed under: Solanum lycopersicum (tomato)
Lineage: Eukaryota; Viridiplantae; Streptophyta; Magnoliopsida; Solanales; Solanaceae
Rfam family: tRNA
About the family: Transfer RNA (tRNA) molecules are approximately 80 nucleotides in length. Their secondary structure includes four short double-helical elements and three loops (D, anti-codon, and T loops).
Source: Rfam by way of RNAcentral